Molecule: long non-coding RNA, 4766 nt
Filed under: Sus scrofa (pig)
Lineage: Eukaryota; Metazoa; Chordata; Mammalia; Artiodactyla; Suidae
Description: lncRNA (ENSSSCG00000062921.1)
Source: RNAcentral
AAGAAUGCUACCCUUUAUUGAAUCCCCACUCUCUGCCUUGAAUUGUGUUAAAUUAUAUAAUUUAACCCUCAUGAAAAGUUUCAGAAGUAUUUACUUUUGUCUUUCAUUAUAUUUGAGGAAAUAGAGGAUCGAAGAUGUUAAGUAAUAUGCCCAGUCAUCCUGCAAGUAGCUGGCAGAACCAGGAUUAGAACCAUGACUAUUUCACUUCAAAAUUGUAGGUUUUCUAUUUAUUCUCUGGCCUCACACUGUCAAAUGAAUCUUGUAUUUAACAAGUAGGUCUUAUAUACUCUUUAUUUUUCAGCAGAAUUUAUUUUCUUUUCUAAUUAUUGUCUUUUUUGUCCAUAAUAUUCUUGUAUUAAAAUUUUUUGUUUACUGAUUUUUCCUCUUCAGAUUUUAAAAAUUAAUGAUGUGAAUUUUUGCGAACUAAUUGGCAUAGCACCUUGCCCAUAGGAAGUGUUCUGUAAAUACUUGAAUAAAUGAAUUUAAAAAACAGUAUAUGGUCAUACAGUCUUGGAUGUUUCAUUUCUUUUUCUUUUUUUCUUUUUUCUUUUUGGUCUUUUUAUCUUUUCUGGGGCCGCACCUGCAGCAUAUGGAGGUUCCCAGGCUAGGAGUCUAAUCGGAGCUAUAGUCACCGGCCUACACCAGAGCCAUAGCAGCACGGGAUCUGAGCCGUAUCUACGACCUACACCACAGCUCAUGGCAACACCAGAUCCUAGCAAGGCUAGGGAUGGAACCCGAAACCUCAUAUUUCUUGUCAGAUUUGUUAACCACUGAGCCAUGAUGGGAUGUUUCAUUUCUUACUCAUUUUUAUAUUUCUUGCUAACAGAGCCUCUUUUAAAACUACCCAAACAUAGGCAUUUAGAAUACCUUGUGUAGAGCAAAGUGUGAAAUAUAAAGAGGUGAUCUUAAGAAAGCUUCACAUUUCAUUGUGGGAGACAAAACUGUCAGGGGGUUCCAUUUUCUACUCAUAUUUUUAGGUAACCAAUCAUUUGCCUGUUUCUUUCCUUCCUUCCUUCCUUCCUUCCUUCCUUCCUUCCUUCCUUCCUUCCUUCCUUCUCUCUCUCUCUCUCUCUCUCUCUCUCUCUGCCUCUGGCAUAUGGGAGUCCCCAGGCUAGGGGCUGAAUUGGAGCUGCAGCUGCCAGCCUAUCCCCACAGCCACAGCAAUGUGGGAUCCAAGCCACAUCUGGAACUUACGCCACAGCUCACAGCAGAGCUGGAUCCUUAACCUGCUGAGUGAGGCCAGGGAUUGAACCUGCAUCCUCGUGGAUACUAGUCAGGUUCGUAACCUGCUGAGUCACAGUGGAAACUCCCUAUAUAGGCUUUUUAUAAAACGUAUUCUUUCUCUGAGUUUAACUGUGUCCUGCCCAACAGUUAAGUGGCAGAACAAAAUAUGUGUGGCUAGUGUUUAGUCUUCUACUGCUUACCACUCCUCCCCUACCACUCAGGGUUUGAGCCACCAUCACCUCUUGCUUGGAUUAUUUAGGUCUUUCUGCAUCUUGCUUUGCCUCUUUCUGCUGAGUCUCAACACACAGGUCAGACGAUUUGGUUCUAACCUAAGUUGGAUAAGGUAAUUCCAGAGAAGAGACUGCAGUUGCAACAGUGGCCUGCAAGGUCCCGCAUCAUCUGCCCCCACCCUGUUGGUUCAUCUCCUCCUGCUUUCCCCUCUGUCACUCCAUCCAGUUUCUCUGCUGUUCUUUCAGCCUUUCUGUGGUGCUUUGCCCUGUGUUCCUUUAGCUCAUUAUGCUGUAUUCCCAGGUCCUUAUUGGGCAGGGCUUGCUUCUUCAUCUUCUUAAGAUGUGUAUGUGUGUGUGUGUGUGUGUGUGUGUGUGUGUGUAUUUUUUUGUCUUUUCUAGGGUCGCACCCGAGGCAUAUGGAGGUUCCCAGGCUAGGGACUGAAUUGGAGCUGUAGCUGCCAGUCUACGGCCAGAGCCACAGCAACUCAGGAUCUCAGCCGCAUCUGUGACCUACACCACAGCUGCUACCUACACCACAGCUCGCGGCAACGCCAGAUCCUUAACCCACUGAGCAAGGCCAGGGAUCGAACCUGCAACCUCAUGGUUCCUAGUCGGAUUCGUUAACCACUGCGCCACGACGGGAACUCCAAGAUAUAUAUUUUUAAAAUAUUUUUAUUGAAGUUAGUGUACAAUAUUAUAUGGUACAGGUGUACAAUAUAGUAAUUCACAGGUUUUAAAAGUUAUACUCCAUUUAUAGUUAUUAUAAAAUAUUGGUUUUAUUCCCCACAUUGUACAGUAUAUCCCUGUAGCUUAUUUUAUAACUAAGAGUUUGUGCCUCUUAUUCCCUGCUCCUAUAUUGCCCUUCCUGUCUUCCCUCUCCACUAUUUACUAAUUUUUUUAGACUCCAUAUAUAAGUGAUAUCCUACAAUAUGUGUCUUUAUCUGAUUUAUUUCACUUAGUAUAAUACCCUUCAAGUUCAUCCAUCCAUGUUGAUGCAAAGGGACAAAUUUCAUUCUUUUUGUUUGUUUGUUUGUUUGUUUUUGUUAUUUUAUGGUUGCACUCAUGGCAUAUGGAGGUUCCCAGGCUAGGAGUCCAGUCGGAGCUGUAGUCACCAGCCUACUCCACAGCCACAACGACAUGGGAUCUGAGAUGCAUUUGCCACCCAUACCACAGCUCAUGGCAACACUGGAUUCUUAACCCAGGAGCAAGGCCAUGGAUCAAACCCGUUCAUGGAUGCUAGUUGGGUUUGUUAACCACUGAACCACGACGGGAACUCCUCUUUCUUUUUUAUGGCUGAUUUCUGUUCCAUUGUGUGUGUAUAUAUAGACACAUAGGUGAUCUUUACAAACUCUCCCAAGGUUUCCCUGACCACUGAAAGUUUUAGCCUCCCUCACUGCUUACCUUGGGACUAGCCACAUCCUCAUUCUCAACACUGUUUUCCUGGACAUUACUCAUUAUCAUCGACCAUGUUGUAUUUUUUCAAAGUUUGUUUUGCGUUAUGUCUAUCUCCUCCAACUAGAAACAAGGCUCAGAAGGCAUAAAGACAUGUUCUUUGUUUUGGUUUUGGUUUUUAGCCUUGUUCACCAUGAACACUAGUACCUAGGAUGGUGUCUGACCAAAGUGGAUGCUUGGUAAAUAUUUGAAGAAUGAAUGAAAAUGUAACUGUGCAACUCUUAUAUGUCAUAGAUACCACAUCCAACCUUUUGAGCAUUAUGAACUUUAAUGAUUCAUUCAUUCAUAAAAUAUUUAUUGAGCGCUUACUGUAUGCCCUGAGGGUAAAGUGGUUCUCCUGGAGCUUACUGUUUAGUCGGAGAGAUUGACAUUGAAUAUAAAUACAUGUCUAAUUAUUCAGUGCCACAUUGUAGCAGGGUUGCUCAGAGAAGACAAGCUGAGGAAUACUUGUCUAGCCCUGUCUUAUUCUUAGCUGUGAGCAGGGAUGAAGGUAAGGCUGCCAGGCUGCUACUUCCACAGGCCCAGGGAAACUUCUCUGUAGAUUUCUUAAGCCACAAUGGUUUUCAAACUAGAGUCAACAGAAUCAUAUGGUAGGCUUGUUAAAACACAGAUCUGGGCCUCCUCUCCAGAAAUUCUGGUUCAGUAGGUCUGGGGUAGGGCCUGACCAUUUGCAUUUCUGACAGGUUCUCUGGUGAUGCUGGGGCUGGGGGUCACGCUUUGAGAACAGCUGGAUUAUAGCAUGGGUCUGGCAUGUCUGUAUCCAAAAUGGAGAGGCUUAUUCUAAGGCAAGGGCCAAGAAGACUUUUGAUCUUAGUGAAAGGACUGCCUGCAAGGAACUUUGCAAAUAGUUACAGUUGUUGAAAACCACAGGGUAGGCAGAGAAGGAACUGGAGACAAUGACGUUUAUUUAUUUAUUUUUCUGGGCACAUUCACAGAUUUGAAAGCUUGAUCUAAUCACUACUAUUGUUUUCCUUGUGAGAGGCAAAAUACAUUUGGCUUGGACUGUUGAAAUUUUUGCUCCUCUGGAGUCAGACAUAAUUGAGUUUGAAUUUUAGCUCUGCUGCUUAUUCAUUGUGGAACAGCAACAAAUGAAUAGAUGGGUGAACUGGAAGUGAGGAAGCAGCUAUCUGGCCUUUGAGCCUAUCCUGCAGAAAGAGCAUCUUUUUAAAAACUUUUAAAGGUGGUGAAACUUUGGUUGCUUAAGAUUGUGAUUGGAAAUUAGAAGCUGUAGCUUGAAAGUAAGUCACAGAUGCCUUUAACCUCACAGGCCCCACCCCAGACUCUAGCCACUGAAGAUAAGACUUGCUAAGCUCUGGAUCUUGGUCAUUUACUUAAUAUUCUGAGUAGUAACUGUCUCCAGUUACUUUAUAUGUAAAACGAGAUUAGUAAUACCUUUUUCACAGGGAUGUGUAUACUGGAGAAGAUUGUAUAUGUCAAGGGCUUCCUAUAUAUUGCUUGAUACUCCAUAUAUAUUAAAUAUUGCUGUUAUUGUUUUUAAAAUACCCUCAAAGAUGACACCUUUUCUUAUUCAUUCUUCCCUUACCCAACCUCACCAUCCCCAAAAAUUUAGAUGGCUCACCCUUUAUGUGCAAAACAGGGAACAUUUGAUUACUUAGUUUUAAAUAGUUUAAACCUGAUUUUUUUCAUUGUUUACUUCUUGAAUAAAAGGCAAAUGUUUUCCAGAGGAUUUUUAUAAAACUUUGGAAAAGAGUACCCAUUUGAAGUCAGUGUUGGAGUGGGGGUAAUUGGGUUUUUAGUGUUUUUAAGGCAUUUACUUCCAGGUUCCUUCUACAUGCUUGGAAAUUUGUGGAUAAUCCACUAGGUUAUUCAGGAACUCUUUAUGGAGGAUGAAUAUCUAUU